Molecule: RNA transcript, 2128 nt
Organism: Asparagus officinalis (garden asparagus)
Lineage: Eukaryota; Viridiplantae; Streptophyta; Magnoliopsida; Asparagales; Asparagaceae
Exons: 11
Source: RefSeq, a predicted model, not a curated record
CGCGUUAUCUUCCCCAUUUUGAUUUUUGACGCGUAGCUGAGGAUGAACGCAGCAUUCAACCGCGUCUAUAAAUAGAGUCUUGGUCCCGCCCUCUCUCUUUCGAAUCUCAACUCAGGGUUUCAAUUUUGGGGCUUCUGACGAUCUAGGGCUUGCGAAGGUUUCUGAUGAUCUAGGGUUUGUGCUGGAGGAAACAGGGUUUCUCUUUUACUUCUGAUCAACAUCAUGAACGGCGGCGGCGAGUUUCCUUUUAAACUGCGUCAUCUUCAACAAAACCCUAGAAAGAUGGAAACUUGGCGCCUUCAAGUCUAUGUUUCGAAAUUUAUUUUGAUUUUCAGAGGUGAGCUUUGACGAGUAGAAUGAUGUCCUUACAAAGUAUCACUAUCGAGUGCAAUUAUGCACAGGAUCAAUGUUGCAUUCAAAGAAGAAGAAGAAGAAGAAGAAGAAAAUAUCAUUCACUUUUGAGGACUGAUUUGAGAAGUAGAAAGGAAUCCUUGCGAAGUUUCAUUAUCGAGUGCAAUUACAGCUCAAUUUCACAGUCAAAAUAGAAAGAAGCUGUGAUUAUUCAAAGAAGAAUUCUCCUUCAUCCUUCGAUGAGAGAUUUUUAUGAUUCGAAAGAUAUCCUUGCAAAAGUAUCAAUGAUCGAGUGCCUGUGGAGCUGGAUGCAUUUGUUAUUUCAGGUGUAGCAAAAAUGUGCAGCAUGUGGAAUUUAUUGGAAUGAAGCAAAGUGAAAGAGUUGAGCACAAUUCAGUAUCUCUGAGUGGAGUUUGCAUCUCAGAAAAAGUUGAAUCAGGGAUAUCAUGCAGUAGGGUGGUACAAGUUUCUGGUGGAGGAUGGUGGCAUCCAAACUCUUAUUAUCUUGGAAAUGGUCCUGAAAAUCAGAAAUGUUUUGCGUAUCUAAAGUCAGUGGCUAUCAGUGAAGGAGAGCAAGCGAAGGGUUUACACAUACAACAACAUGGAGGAAGCACAUUUUGUAUACUCCAUUACAUUUUUGGAAUGCAAUCCAUUCCUAUGAAAGAUUGUUACAUAUGGCUGGCAACAGGGUGUGAUGAUGGAACUGUGCGAUUACAAGAUACUGUUAGAUCAGGAAAUUCAUAUAUCAUCAUUCGUGGUUCUAGCGAUGGAAGUAUUACUUUGGAUAGUACCACAGCCAUUGAUGGUUUUAUGCAAAGAACUCUGGAAUUCAGACAAGAAAUGCUUAUGUACUGUCAAAGACGUCCACAAACAGGUAGAAUAAGCCAGGGAGAUGGAUGGUGGAAAUCCUUGAAAAAUCAAUCCUCCCAGGAGACUAUCAGAGUUUCCUUAACCAUGCAGAAGCUGGCAAUAGUAGUAAUGGCCAAAGUGCCGAACAAAUUUCAGUUGACCCCUCAUCUUGACGCAAAUACCCUAACGAGUGCUCAGAAGAGUACCAAUAUACCAUCAUCUGAGAUAUGUCAGAUUUUGCGGUUGCAUAUUUUUCAGUUCAAUUCAUCAGUCUGGCGUUCACUGCCUCCAUGUUUCAGAAAGAAAAGAUUUUCUGCAGUCAAAACCUGAAAUUUCUUACCAUGUUGUAGUUGUGGAGAUGAUCAGACAGUGAACUAUAUUUUCUUUGAUUUAACAAGAAAAACAAUGAAUGGGAUUCCUUAAGUGUUCAGCCAACUGAUAAAUCAAACCACAUGCAGGAUUGUGCACUAGAAUUAAUCAUCACUGAGAAGUAUUCUAGUCAUGGCAUGCGUAACCAAUAUCAGCUUAGGAUACAUUAUCAAGACAGUUGAGUCAGAUCACACUUCAGCAGUUAAAGAUUUAGAGGACGGACAGGUCCAGUAUGAUGAUGCAUUAGAGCAGGAGUAUGCCCAGCCGGAGUGUCUUCCAGGUGGAACAGAAGAACAAACAGAAGCUUAGCAUUUUCUUUUACGUAAUCACUGAUGAACACUAGAUUACUUAUGUAGUACCUUACCCUUUAGUCUUUCGAUGGACUUAGUCAUUUUGCAGUACUUCCUUCUUAAUUUGUCGGACUAUGUAUUUUCCUAUUUUAGUUGGACUGUUUUGUAAUAAGGGCAUGUUUGACCCAAACUUUGUGUCUCGGAUGAUAUUUCAGUUGUGAUAUGUAUAUUUUCUAUCUGUGUUGUUUAUUAUAUUCUCGCUACUGUGA